GAUGAACGCUGGCGGCGUGCUUAACACAUGCAAGUCGAACGAAGAUAUUUAGAAUGAGAGCUUCGGCAGGAUUUUUAUCUAUCUUAGUGGCGGACGGGUGAGUAACGUGUGGGCAACCUGCCCUGUACUGUGGAAUAAUCAUUGGAAACGAUGACUAAUACCGCAUGUGGUCCUCGGAAGGCAUCUUCUGAGGAAGAAAGGAUUUAUUCGGUACAGGAUGGGCCCGCAUCUGAUUAGCUAGUUGGUGAGAUAACAGCCCACCAAGGCGACGAUCAGUAGCCGACCUGAGAGGGUGAUCGGCCACAUUGGGACUGAGACACGGCCCAAACUCCUACGGGAGGCAGCAGUGGGGAAUAUUGCACAAUGGGCGAAAGCCUGAUGCAGCAACGCCGCGUGAAGGAUGAAGGGUUUCGGCUCGUAAACUUCUAUCAAUAGGGAAGAAACAAAUGACGGUACCUAAAUAAGAAGCCCCGGCUAACUACGUGCCAGCAGCCGCGGUAAUACGUAGGGGGCAAGCGUUAUCCGGAAUUACUGGGUGUAAAGGGAGCGUAGGCGGCAUGGUAAGCCAGAUGUGAAAGCCUUGGGCUUAACCCGAGGAUUGCAUUUGGAACUAUCAAGCUAGAGUACAGGAGAGGAAAGCGGAAUUCCUAGUGUAGCGGUGAAAUGCGUAGAUAUUAGGAAGAACACCAGUGGCGAAGGCGGCUUUCUGGACUGAAACUGACGCUGAGGCUCGA
This 734-nucleotide ribosomal RNA is filed under the name uncultured Lachnospiraceae bacterium. RNAcentral describes it as "bacterial SSU rRNA". It matches the Rfam family "Bacterial small subunit ribosomal RNA", at positions 28 to 756 of the family's 1533-position model. The record is from RNAcentral. Lineage: Bacteria; Bacillati; Bacillota; Clostridia; Lachnospirales; Lachnospiraceae.